CUCAUCAGUUCAGCAUCUCAAAAUGAGGUUCCCUUCUCAGCUCCUGGGGCUGCUGAUGCUCUGGGUCCCAGGAUCCAGUGGGGAUAUCGUGCUGACACAGACCCCACUGUCUCUGUCCAUCACCCCUGGAGAGUCGGCCUCCAUCUCCUGCAGGGCCAGUCAGAGCCUUGUACACAGUAAUGGAAACACCCAUUUGAGUUGGUACCUGCAGAAACCAGGCCAGUCCCCACAGCUCCUGAUCUACAAGAUUUCCAACCAUUUCACUGGGGUCCCAGACAGGUUCAGUGGCAGCGGGUCAGGGACAGAUUUCACCCUGACAGUCAGCAGGGUGGAGGCUGAUGAUGUGGGAGUUUAUUACUGUGGGCAAUAUACACAGUAUCCUCCCACAGUGGUUCAGGCCUGAACACAAACCUCUCUGUCUGGCGGUCCCCACUGGGCACAUGUGCUGCCUGAGAGGGGAGUUGGGAUAACAGAGGCUCUUAGUUGGUGUCAGAGGCUGGUGUUGGGGAACUCAGGGCAGUAACAUGCAGCUGAGUACUCUGGACCGAGUCCUGGGAUUUGGGAUGCUACAUGCUCAGUGGGGUAUAACCAGCUCUGGAGCGGAUGUGAUCAGCCUGUGGGCUUUGCGGUGAGCUGCCAGGGAGUGCUGCCCUGAACCUCACCCUGACCCUCCAGGCCUGUGUGCAUGUGUCAGGAACUGUUACUCAGGCUGAGCGUCAGAAACCUGAGCGAUUUAUGUGAAAGCACAACUACAUACAUUUGGAGCUAAACACGUCUGCCAUAUUGUCAGUAAGAGACUAUUCAGUGUUGUUCAGAAUUUAUUAUUUUUUAUUUUCCCACUUUAUGAACCUUCACUUUCCCAGUUAGACUAAUGGCUCUGUUACAAUGUUAUCUAGAUAGUAUUCUAUACACCCUAUCCCCAUAGGAAAUAUACAUGAGAAAAAUUUGUAAAAUUUUUUGAUGGUCAAGCACCCAAAUAGACUCUUGUCAUAAAUUCAUAGCAAAUAUAAGCUCCUCCUUCUGAUGAGAAAUAGGUGGCAUAUAUAUACAUAUAUUGAAAUACUACUCAGUCCAGGAAAUGGUAUCUUGUUAUUUGUAACAACAUGGCUGGACCUAGAAAGUAUAAUGCUAAGCAAAACAAGUCAGACAGAGUAAGACAAAUACCAUAUGUCUUCAUUUAUAUGUAGAAUCUACAAACAAAACAAAUAAAAAACUCACAAACACAAACUGACCCAUGAAUAAAGAAAGCAUUGACACGAUACAUUAACAUUGUUCAAACGUGCACUCAAUUGUUAAUCUCUCUUAUGUACAGAACAGACAAUAAGGAUCAAAGAUAUUAGUGUCCCCUUUAGUUUUCUUUCCGCUCCAUUUGUCAUGUGCAUCAAACUUUCCACAGAGAAAAAGCAAACACAUAAAUAAAUAAACAAUCAAGCUAUCUCACAUUCAAACAGUGGAAGGAUAUUUUUUAACUGUCAGGAAAACUGUAGGAUUUCAGGAGAACUACUCAUGACAGAAGUUCCAUCCCUCACAGGAGACACAUUGGGGUUGGGGAUGCAAAUUUCUAUACAAAGGAAAGAGUUCAGUACAAUGGAGGCAUUAUGAAGUGGCCUGUGGUUAGAGGGAAUUCUGCUUUUCCCAAUCAGACUGGGAUGACUAGGGACCCAGCCCAAGGAUUACAAUUGAUACAGGAAAAACCUUCACAGUCGACAUAAGAUAUUGCUCCCAUUUCUCCACAGAACUCAGCUGAAUCUCAGACAGCUCUACAAAAUGUAUUUACAUGUAUAUUUAUUCCAAGGAAAAACAAAGAAAAGAAAUGAUGAUGUUGGGAAGGAAUUCAGAUUACGCAUAUGGAGAUCAGGGCUUUGAAGGAUCUAGAUCACUGAAGUUCAGAAAAGACCCA
Molecule: non-coding RNA, 1900 nt
Organism: Mustela erminea (ermine)
Lineage: Eukaryota; Metazoa; Chordata; Mammalia; Carnivora; Mustelidae
Source: the annotation of a RefSeq genome assembly